RNAcentral lists this ribosomal RNA (253 nucleotides) under uncultured bacterium. RNAcentral describes it as "partial 16S ribosomal RNA". It matches the Rfam family "Bacterial small subunit ribosomal RNA", at positions 524 to 776 of the family's 1533-position model. The record is from RNAcentral.
UACGUAGGGUGCAGGCGUUAAUCGGAAUUACUGGGCGUAAAGCGUGCGCAGGCGGUUUGCUAAGACAGGUGUGAAAUCCCCGGGCUCAACCCGGGAACUGCGUCCGAUACUGGAAGGCUUGAAUCCGGGAGAGGGAUGCGGAAUUCCAGGUGUAGCGGUGAAAUGCGUAGAUAUCUGGAGGAACACCGGUGGCGAAGGCGGCAUCCUGGACCGGCAUUGACGCUGAGGCGCGAAAGCCAGGGGAGCAAACGGG